RNAcentral lists this transfer RNA (70 nucleotides) under Rhizobium etli. RNAcentral describes it as "tRNA-Ser". It matches the Rfam family "tRNA", at positions 9 to 71 of the family's 71-position model. From Rfam's summary of the family: Transfer RNA (tRNA) molecules are approximately 80 nucleotides in length. RNAcentral also lists the same sequence under 2 other names. Lineage: Bacteria; Pseudomonadati; Pseudomonadota; Alphaproteobacteria; Hyphomicrobiales; Rhizobiaceae. The record is from RNAcentral.
GGCGGAGUUGGUUGGAAUUACCUGCCUUCUAAGCAGGUUGUCGCAGGUUCGAUUCCUGCAGGGGUCGCCA